This 8319-nucleotide long non-coding RNA is filed under the name Homo sapiens (human). RNAcentral's name for it is "non-protein coding lnc-GRHL2-9:1". Lineage: Eukaryota; Metazoa; Chordata; Mammalia; Primates; Hominidae. The record is from RNAcentral.
UUUCAAAUUGUUUUUCAAAACACAGGGUAACAUCCUAAUAAACAAAUGAAUCAUGCUUCCUGCAACACCUUUUCACAAACAGAAACCCCAAAAUAUGCCUGCAAUGUUCUGACAAAAAAAGAGGCCAUUGUCCAAUUAGCAAAACACCUGAAUUUAUUCAGAGUGAGGGAGGAAUCCAGCAACUGCUUGGAUGUUACCUGGAGAGAAGGCUGUGGGAAACAUCACUCGUUGCAGGCUCCGUUUAGCCUGUGUGAGGCCUUCAGCAAGAUGCAACCUGCCCUGACCCAUCAAGCAUGGUUCUGCUCACCAUGCCACCGAGAUCCAGCAGGCUCCUUGGCAAUGAGAAGAUGCAACUGUGUUAGUUGUGGUCUCCUGCAGAAGGACUGGCCCCCACCACAAACAUAAACCCUGCAUUGAGCCUGAGUUAUUGUCCUGGUGCUGAGAGCAAAAUUAAUUGUUUGAAAAAAAAAGUGCUUUCUAAUAAACUAAGAGGAAAGUGAUGCCAUCCCAUAUCUUGCUACCCAGCUGGGUGGGGACUUUGUAAGCUGUCAGCACCAAUAUGGGAGACGUGGGAUGGAAAAUAGCCCAGGCCAAGGUCAGAUACAGACAAGAACAGAGGCAAGUCUCCAAGCCUGGGAUGUGGAGCUGUCAGCACUACAGGGCAUCGGGCAAGCUCAGGAUGGAGUCAACAGCUGGAGAUGCCAAGUUGGAGCAGGGGCAUUCCAUGGGCAUCCAAGAGUUGAGCUGGCAGGAUGGGGAAUGGGGCCAGCAGAGAAUAAGGGCGUGCUCCCCUCUUCCUUUGCCUGAUUCACCACUACUUAUCUUUUAUACCUUGGCUCAGACAUCAUUUUAUCUCAAAGAAGGCCAUCAUCCUGCAAUUCUCCUCAAUAGCACCUACCAUUGAAGUGAGUCAAUGGGUGACUGAUUUUGGAGUCCUGCCUGCUAGAACAUAAACUCCACGAGCUAGACCCCCAUCUGUCUUCUUUAUGGCCACAUCUCUGGUACCCAGCACCAUGUGUGACCCAUUGUCAGCCCUCAAUACAUCUUACUGGGAGGAAGGAAAGAUGAAUAAAGGGCACAGAAGAAGAAGGAGGUAGGGAGGAAGGAUGGGAAGGACAAAUCGGAAGAAGGUGCACACUAAGCUGUGUCUGGUUCCAGAUCCUGUUUCUAAGGAGCUGCUGGUGGGCUUGUAAAUGCAGGUGGGCGUGGCCGACCCUGAAGGCAUAGCACCCCCAGCCCAGUGACUGACCUGUGUGGUAGACAUUGGAGGUCACAUGGUUUAAGAACCUGGCACAUAAAUCCUUCCUGGAAAAAUAAUCACAUUGUAUUUCUUGGUGUUUCAUCUCCUGACAGGGGUUUUUCUUUCUCUGGUGUUUGAGAUGAAAACAAGCUGUGACCUGAAACUAUAGACACUUCUCAAGGAUGAUGGUAUGUUGAUAGAAUGUAGUUAAAAUGCUCAUUAGGGAUCAUCUACUAUUGUAAAGAACAGGGUAGAGGAAGAGUAGGGUAGGCAGAGUCUCUUAAUCCUUGGAUUUAUUCAACAGGAUUUUACCAAAACAGGAUGAACCUCUGAAAAAAGACAAGCAUUUACAAUAACAUUGUAAAUAAAACCUAAUGAAAGACAUCUGAAGUCUACAGACAAAUGAACAGCCUUAAGAAGCCUGAAUCUUACAGGCAAUGACCUUUGCCAAUAGCUUUAAUACCAAUAGAGUUGCUGAUAUUGAUUAUCCAAUCUGUGGCAGGUAGGAGUCCAGGAGUGCAAAGGCACUUGGGACAGUGGGUUUGGGAAUAUUAGCUGGGUGAGAGGAAGCAGUGGUCCUGAAACUUAAUGUUCCUAUGAUUUAACUGGGGCUGAGUAGGUCUGAGAUGGGGCCUUAGAUUUUGCUUUUUUAACAAGCAAUGUCUAUGCAGGUGAGUAUUAAGAAUAAACUUAAACAGUUUUUCCUCUGCUCUCACACUAACACAACAACAGUUAUCAACACAGACAGGAGAAUUCUGUUAUCCCCAAAUAUGAGGGGGUUUCUCCCCAUCAGCAAGCAGCCCAUCAGUUCUGCAGUGGACACCAGCUGGUUGCCCUCCGAUUCAAUUCUGACAUCGUCUACUGGAAGAUAGUGUCAGAUCCCACAGGUCUGACUCUACAGAGACCACAGAUUCUUUGAGUUGCAAGGAAUGAAGAGGUCACUCAACCUAGUUCAAGCGAUGAGGUUUAUGGUGAAGAAAUUGCAAAGCAGUGAGAGUGAUGGAAACUUCUGGAAAACAGGAUUGUGGAGUAGCCAGGCCUGGAAGAGACUGGAACCAGGUAUCAUCCUGAGUCCAGGGCAGCUCAAGGCACCUCAGGGGCAGAGGUUUGUGUAAUUCUUUAUUUCUUGCUGUUCUUCGAAGGGCUUUCUUUUAUCUCAGAGCUUCCACUACCCCAUGCUUCUCCUAACUUCUGCCAGCUCGCCGCCUCUCAGAGCCCCUCGUCUGACUCAAAGUCUCUGUUUCUGCUUCCUUUCAGCAUUUUCCCCACUGAAGACAGGACCCUUGCUAGUUUCUAAUUCAGGCCUCAAGAGCAAGAAGCUGACCCGCCCCUCCUGGCAGGCAAAGCACAUCACCCAGGCGCCCCAGGGCCCUGCCAGCCUGCAACCAAGCUUCUUAGUCAGGCUAGGUGUGCCCCAGCUUUCUAAACACCUGGGGCCAGGAAGGGGCAGGAUGGGCCUCAUGGUACAACCUCGCUGCCAGGACAGCAGGUGCUGCCUCCUGGGAAGGGCCUUUUAAAGAUAUGGUGGGUGUGGUAUUUGCCUCCUCUGUGAAAUCCACGGCUGGCUGAGCUCCAAGCUUUGUAGUCCUUGGAGAGUUAAUCUUGGUGGCUCUCUCUUAUGCAAAAAAAAACUUCAGAGAAGUAUUGGGAGACUUCCUAUUUGGAAAUUUCUAGUCUGUACUGCUAAAGGGAGUAGGGGUAGGGGAGUCAUUUUUCAGUUUUUUUUCUUUUUCUUUUUUUUUUUUUUUUAGGCAGGGUCUUGCCUUGUUGCCCAGGCUGGAGUGCAGUGAUGCAAUCACGGCUCACUGCAGCUCGACCUCGCAGGCUCAAGCGAUCCUCCUGAAUAGCUGGGACCACAGGUGUGCAUCACCACACCUGGCUAAUUAUUUUGUAGUUUUUGUAGAGAUGGGGUCUCACCUUAUUGCCCAGGCUGAUCUCAAACUCCUGGGCUCAAGUGAUGCUCCCUCCUUUGCCUCCCAAAGUGCUGGGAUUACCCAUGAGCCACAGCACCUGGCCCAUUUUUCAGUUUUUAAAGGUCUGGUGGUUUUCCGAAACCUUCACUUGGGAUUUGGCAUGUUAAUUACGACUAAACCCCUGAUCCUUCCCCACACCUCCUGGGGGAUGAUUAGGUCAGGGCCAGGCCAUCCCCGCUCCUCCUGGAGGCUGCAGGAGGCACUCCACACAUCUCCCCACGGGCAGCAUCUGCUCACUCCCUCUGCUCAUGUUUAUUGAGCACUCGAUGUGCUAGGUACAGUUCUCAGACCUGGGGGUACAAUACUGAACCCAAAAGACAACCGUCUCUGUCCUCAUAGAGCUUAUGUUCUAAUGAGGAGAGACAAUUCAUAAAUAUAACAAAUGUGUGAAUUAUAGCUUCCGUUAGAAGGUGAUAAGUGCUUCAGGAAAAGAAAAUAUGUCAGAGUAAGUGGGGUAGGAAGUGCGGGUGAGGAGAGGAGGUAGACAGAUGAAAUGUUUGAUAGCACAGGGAGGGUAAGUCAUUGAGAAGCUGUUAUUUGAGCCAAGCCUCGAUGGAGGUGCGGGAAGCUUUGAGAAUUUUGUAAUAUCCCCCAGCACAAGACACUAGAGGCACCUUGGAGUCUUGUGAAAGCAACACUGAAAACUCUGGGAAUAAACAGCAGAGAAGUAAGGGUGUGACAAGUCAGGAAUAUUCCAUGGCUAUGCACCAAGAAUGGCCCUGCACAAAUAUUUAGGAGGAGUGGCAGUGAGAGGAUUUGAGGGUCAAAAGUGUUAAAGUAGAAAUAUGAGAAAUUACAACAAAGUCCAGGUUCACUUCAGUGUAUUAUUAUUUUCAUUUUUUUGUAAAAUAUUUUGAAAAAUUUCAAAAUAAAGUUGCUAAAAGACUUUGUCGUGAUAAUGACGUUGCAGUUAUGUAGGAGAAUGGCCUUAUUCUUUUUUGUUUUGUUUUGUUUUUGAGACUGAGUCUUGCUGCGUCACCCAGGCUGGAGUGCGGUGGCACAGUCAUGGCUCACUGAAGCCUUGACCUCCCAGACUCAAGUGAACCUCCCGCCUUAGCUUCCUGAGUAGCUGGGUGUACAGGCAAGUGCCAUCAUACCCAGCUAAUUUUAAGAUUUUUUGUAGAGAUGGGGUCUCGCCUUGUUGUCCAGGCUCCUUGAACUCCUGGACACAAGUGAACCUCCCGCCUCAGCCUCCUGAGUAGCUGGGAUUACAGGUGCAUGCCACCACGCCCGGCUAAUUUUUUGUAUUUUUAGUAGAGAUGGGGUUUCACUGUGUUAGCCAGGAUGGUCUCAAUCUCCUGACCUCAUGAUCCGCCCGCCUCAGCCUCCCAAAGUGCUGGGAUUACAGGCGUGAGCCACCGUGCCUGGCCUUUUUUUUUUGUUUUUUUUGAGACGGAGUUUCGUUCUUGUUGCCCAAGCUGGAGUGCAAUGGCGCGACCUCGGCUCACUGCAACUUCCUCCUCCAGGGUUCAAGUGAUUCUCCUGCCUCAGCCUCCAGAGUAGCUGGGAUUACAGGCGCCCACCACCAUGCCUGGCUCAUUUUUUGUAUUUUUAGUAGCAAUGGGGUUUCACCAUGUUGGCCAAGCUGGUCUCGAACUCCUGACCUCAGGUGAUCCACCCGCCUGGGCCUCCCAAAGUACUGGGAUUACAGGCAUGAGCCACCGCACUUGGCCUGUUUUGUAUUUUUUCUAUGAGACAUGCCUGGUGGUAGAGAGAUUUGGACUGGCUAACCUGUUUUUCUUUUGCUGCCACUUUGUUUGGGUUCUAUCCAAAGCAAACCUUGGGAUCAGAGUUUGAGUGUAAGCUGUUUAUUUGGCAGAUGUAGUGGGUUGAAUGGUGGCCCCUCAAAAGAUAUAUUCAUGUCCUAACCCCCGCAACCUGUGAAUGUUACAUUAUUUAGAAAAAUAGUUUAUUGUCAAUGUAAUUAAGUUAAGGAUCUUGAGAUGAGAUUAUCCUAGAUUACCCAGGUGGGCCCUAAAUCCCAUGACAAAUGUCCUUAGAAGAGACAGAAGAGGAGAAGGCAUGGACACAGAGGAGGAGAAGGCCGUGUGAAGAUGGAGGCAGAGAUUACAGUGAUGCAGCCACAAGCCAAGGAAGCCUGGAGCCCCCAGAAGCCAGAAGAGGCAAAGAAGGAUUCUCCCUAGAGCCGUCAGAGUGAGUGCAGCCCUGCUGCCAACUGGAUUGUGAGCUUCUGGCCUCUAGAACUGCAAGGAAAUUAAUUUCUGUUGUCUUAAGCCACCAAGUUUGGGGUCAUUUGUUAAGGCAGUCUUAGGAGAGGAAUACAGCAAGUGAUUCCAGGAAGCAGAGGCAUGGAGUGGGAAAGUGAGACGCAGUGGGAUGCAAGCCAAUAAAGGGAAUGCUCAGGGGUGCAUCGCUGCCCUGGGGAGCUUCUGAGAGGAGUGAGAAGGCCGGGCUAUCCCCCAGCUCCAUUCUUGCUGGUUGAGGGUCACUCCUUUGGGCUCAAUGCUCAAUAUACUCUUGGUCUGCAGAGCAUGCUCCUAAGGUAUUGUGUGUAGGAUUUUGGAGUGGACCAAGGGCUCUGGACAGAGUGGAGUGGACAGCAGCUCCUCUGCCCCUACCCUUUGGCUGCUCAUUGAUUAGCUGAAAGCCCUACAGGCAUAGGUAUGGGAAGAAAAAAUGAGGUUCAGUAGAUAGAGAGUAACAUACUUUGACACCCAAAACAAAUUAGACUGGUGGACUCCAGUUAGAAUGUCCAACUCCAAGACCUGAUCAGUUCAUGUAUCCACCUCUGGCAAAUAUGUGACAGGUGACUCCUUUCUGCACAGCAUGGAAAUAUUAAUCCACUUUCUUUGGGAUAUUAUAGUUGGAAUAUGAGUUUUUUUCAGGUUUAUUUUAGAAUAUAUUUGAUAACUUCCUGUUUAUUAAUAUUGAAUGGAAUGUUCACAUGUUCCCAUUAUAUUUGUCUUACAUGUAAAAGCUCUAUAAUCGUGCAUUAAAUCAACCUGCCUUGUAGUAUAAGCUAGAAAUGCUGCUAGAUGCUCUGUGUGGAGACUGGAUCUCCAAUGACUCUGGCACCUCACAGCACCCAGCACAGUGUAAGAAAACAGCAGGUGCACAAUAAAGACAUGCUGUUAGGUUUAUCCCUCUCCUUCCUGGUCUCUCCUUCCAGCCCCUGGGCUCCAUCACAAUCAUUUCCAAGCAGUGCUCCUGCAGCUUUCAUUUCUUGCUCGUCUGUUAUUUGUUGCUCCCAGCCAGCAAUGUUCUUUUCUUGUCUCUUUUCUUCUAGUCUCUCUGGGUAGAUUCCUGCAGUGCUUUUUGGCACGGCUGGGUGGGGAACUCUCCGAGACUGUCUACAUCAUUUUUCAAAGCUCCCACCAUCAGACUUGGCAUUUCAUAUACAGCUUUGAACACUGUCAACUGGUGCCUUCACCUUUUCCCUUAAUGAGGGCUCAAGGGUACCCUUUAGCACAGAAUAAAUGUACACAUCUGAAAUUGAACAUUAAAAUGUAUCUGCUUGUUUUAAAACUCAGUUUUUCCUUUUCAGGUUGGAGAACGUCUUGGAAAUGGCAUGCCUUUACUUGUGGGUUUCCAUUAGGGCCUCCUGGGUAUGAUCCUGGCUGUAGCCUCCUUUUUUCUUAGCUAUUUAUUUCUCUUAUGAGCUGGAACUGAGAGGGAAGAGGAUCCGGAGGACUAAGGUAGUUUUGUUCCUAGCCAUCUUUGGCUUGAAUCCUUUUGGCAUCCUCUGAUAAGCAGAAAUAGCAUCAUCUGUCUCUACUAAUGGCAUUAUCUUAGCUGGAAGAAGUGAUUUAUUCAAAUGCUCUAAUAAUUAUAGCUCACAUCUAUCGAGUGCUUACCACACGCCAGGCUCCUGUGCUAAGUGCUUGGCAUUCUUUAUCUCCAUUUUCAUCUUCACAACAACCUUCUGAAGUUGCUCCUUUAUCAUCUCCAUUUCACAGAUGAGGAGACCGAGACUUGGGAAGUCUAAGUGCAUGCUGGAACCACACAGGUAGUGGAGCUAGGAUUCAAGCCCAGGUCUGUUUGACUUAGAACAUGUGACUUAGAACAUGUGAGUUAGAACAUGUUCUGAACACAACUUUCAGGGCACAUGGCCUUGGAUCGCAAGACUCCCUCAUCUUCUGCUUUUUAAAACAGUUACAUGGAGAAGUGACUCCAUGUUGAAAAGGCAACCACAGCUUCUGAAAGUGUCCUUAGGGAACCUCACUAUUAGGAGCCAGGUCUAUCCAAGUCAGUACAAAUGAAGCGAGGGAUGCUGGCCAAGGCACAGGGUGGGCUUUUUCUGUUCAGGAAAACAAGGUUGUUUUUAAAAGGAGAUUUGUUGAAAGGGACAUUAGAAGGAGAGUGUGAACACUUUGGAAUGUGGAGAUGGACGGGGAGUAAGACCCAAGCAUCUCACACCAUUUGGGGCAGCAUCAAAGCUUUUAUGAGUGUCCUCUCCCAUAGCAACUCGGCACCUCUGCUGGUUCCUGCCUCACCUGUCCUUCAGCUUGUACCAAGUCAUCCACUCAGGAGGCGGAAUUGUGCUUUGCUGUCAUGAAAUCUCUAUUGGGGAAGAUCAAUGGAAAAAGGACUACUCAGAAGACAGGGAUCAGCUCAAACCAUUCAUUCCUGGUUUUCAUGGGGGUAUGAGGAGAGCAGAGCAAAGUGUGUGUGUGUGUGUGUGUGUGUGUGUCUGUGUGUCUGUUAUUGUGUGUGUCUGUGUCUGUUAUUGUGUGUGUGUGUGUGUGUGUGUGUUUGUAGAUGGGGUCUCUGGCUCUAUUGCCCAGGCUGGUCUUGAACUCCUGUACUCAAGAGAUCCUCCUGCCUCGGCCUCCCAAAAUGCUAAGAUUAUAGGCAUGCCAUCACGCCUGGCCCAGAGCAAAGAGUUUUGACCGCUGAGCAUCCAAGGAUUAACAGGGGACUGAAAGCAGGGAAGAAACGGGUCUCUGGUGCAUGGGGUGCUGGGGAACAAGGAAAGUGGUGGCCUGACCCUGGUCUAGUCAGAUGGGCAGGUGUUGCCCUGGCCCCAGGGAAUUCUGGCCCAGCAUGGUCCUGCCUGAAGUGUGUCCUGGCUUCCUGUCUUUCCUGGCUGUCUGGCUUUUAUCACACAGGAACAGAAGACAUAAAUAAAUUGGGAAUAUGGAUACC